RNAcentral lists this long non-coding RNA (352 nucleotides) under Mustela putorius furo (domestic ferret). RNAcentral describes it as "lncRNA (ENSMPUG00000025968.1)". Lineage: Eukaryota; Metazoa; Chordata; Mammalia; Carnivora; Mustelidae. The record is from RNAcentral.
CAGGACUCCAGAAACUCCAGAGGGCAAGAGGAGAUGCUGCAUUAUCCUGUCUCUGUUUCCUGACCUCUUUUUUGAAAGAAUGGAAACAGAGAGAGGUGAGCAAGAGAGGAAACCAGAGGGAAUCGAGAAUCAAAGAUGAGGACUGAAAGUGAAGUUGUGUCCGGUGGGAAACUGAAGUAAUUGCUGAAGGGAGUUAAUGAUGAGAGAGACAGUGUGAAAAGCUGCUCAUUGAAAACGAAUCCCCUUCUAGUAUUGGUAUUUUGGGAAAACCUUUCAUAAGAGCACAACACCGGUGGCAAAAAGAAAAUACAAAAAGGCAUAUUUCUACUCUGGCCUGAUUCUUCAAAUUGUC